GGGGAUGUAGCUCAGUGGUAGAGCAUCUCCUUCGCAUGCAGAAGGUCCCAGGUCCACUCCCUGGCAUCUCCA
This is a non-coding RNA of Gekko japonicus, 72 nucleotides long. The record is from the annotation of a RefSeq genome assembly. NCBI's taxonomy places the organism in Eukaryota, Metazoa, Chordata, Lepidosauria, Squamata, Gekkonidae.